Molecule: long non-coding RNA, 526 nt
Filed under: Homo sapiens (human)
Lineage: Eukaryota; Metazoa; Chordata; Mammalia; Primates; Hominidae
Description: HSALNT0051967
Source: RNAcentral
CGAGAUCUGAUGGUUUGAUAAGCAGAAACCCAUUUCGCUUGUCCCUCUUCUUUUUGCCUGCUGCCAUCCAUGUAAGACAGGACUUUCUCUUCCUUGCCUUCUGCCAUGAUUGUGAAACUUCCCCAACCACGUGGAAAUCAGCCUUGGCCCCUUCGCUGAGGAAUCAUAAAGACUUCCUGUUUCACUUAUCUUACAUCGGGCUUCAGCUGUGAAGCUCAAAUAGUUGGGAGCUGCCUGUGACUGUAUCACUGGAACCACCUAUCUUGGGCCUGGGUUCUGGCUGUUGUCUAGUUUCCUUCAUUAUUUUCUACUUGGCCUCUCCAUGUGGCUAAAUUGAGCUUCCUCACACUAUGAAUAUUUCAAGAGAGAAUUUCCUGGGAGGAAGACAUGAUGUGGUCUACUGAGUUUACAGAAACCAUGCUGAAAUGUACAGAUUUUAAUUAAUGACUUCUAAUGGAGAUCAUUUUGUAAUCAUUUUAGCCUCAGUUUUCUAAUUGGGGUUGACAUCUACUUCACAAGACUGUUG